RNAcentral lists this ribosomal RNA (103 nucleotides) under uncultured bacterium. Its description in RNAcentral is "partial 16S ribosomal RNA". The record is from RNAcentral.
AAGACGGCCCUACGGGUUGUAAACUGCUUUUGCAGGGAAUAAACCCCGUUAACGUGUAACGGGUUGAAUGUACUCUGGGAAUAAGGAUCGGCUAACUCCGUGC